GAUGAACGCUGGCUACAGGCUUAACACAUGCAAGUCGAGGGGCAGCAUGGUCUUAGCUUGCUAAGGCCGAUGGCGACCGGCGCACGGGUGAGUAACACGUAUCCAACCUGCCGUCUACUCUUGGACAGCCUUCUGAAAGGAAGAUUAAUACAAGAUGGCAUCAUGAGUCCGCAUGUUCACAUGAUUAAAGGUAUUCCGGUAGACGAUGGGGAUGCGUUCCAUUAGAUAGUAGGCGGGGUAACGGCCCACCUAGUCUUCGAUGGAUAGGGGUUCUGAGAGGAAGGUCCCCCACAUUGGAACUGAGACACGGUCCAAACUCCUACGGGAGGCAGCAGUGAGGAAUAUUGGUCAAUGGGCGCAGGCCUGAACCAGCCAAGUAGCGUGAAGGAGGACUGCCCUAUGGGUUGUAAACUUCUUUUAUAAAGGAAUAAAGUCGGGUAUGUAUACCCGUUUGCAUGUACUUUAUGAAUAAGGAUCGGCUAACUCCGUG
Molecule: ribosomal RNA, 490 nt
Filed under: uncultured bacterium
Lineage: Bacteria
Description: partial 16S ribosomal RNA
Rfam family: Bacterial small subunit ribosomal RNA
Source: RNAcentral